CAGGUGCUGCAUGGCUGUCGUCAGCUCGUGUCGUGAGAUGUGGGUUAAGUCCCGCAACGAGCGCAACCCUUGCCAUCAGUUGCUACGAAAGGGCACUCUGAUGGGACUGCCGGUGACAAACCGGAGGAAGUGGGGAUGACGUCAAGUCCUCAUGGCCCUUAUAGGUGGGGCUACACACGUCAUACAAUGGCCGGUACAAAGGGCAGCCAACCCGCGAGGGGGAGCCAAUCCCAUAAAGCCGGUCGUAGUCCGGAUCGCAGUCUGCAACUCGACUGCGUGAAGUCGGAAUCGCUAGUAAUCGUGGAUCAGCAUGUCACGGUGAAUACGUUCCCGGGUCUU
RNAcentral lists this ribosomal RNA (339 nucleotides) under uncultured Hydrogenophaga sp. RNAcentral describes it as "bacterial SSU rRNA". It matches the Rfam family "Bacterial small subunit ribosomal RNA", at positions 1035 to 1382 of the family's 1533-position model. Lineage: Bacteria; Pseudomonadati; Pseudomonadota; Betaproteobacteria; Burkholderiales; Comamonadaceae. The record is from RNAcentral.